This 253-nucleotide ribosomal RNA is filed under the name uncultured bacterium. RNAcentral's name for it is "partial 16S ribosomal RNA". It matches the Rfam family "Bacterial small subunit ribosomal RNA", at positions 524 to 776 of the family's 1533-position model. The record is from RNAcentral.
UACGUAGGGUGCAAGCGUUGUCCGGAAUUAUUGGGCGUAAAGAGCUCGUAGGCGGUUUGUCGCGUCGGCUGUGAAAUCCCGAGGCUCAACCUCGGGCCUGCAGUCGAUACGGGCAAACUAGAGUGUGGUAGGGGAGACUGGAAUUCCUGGUGUAGCGGUGAAAUGCGCAGAUAUCAGGAGGAACACCGAUGGCGAAGGCAGGUCUCUGGGCAUUAACUGACGCUGAGGAGCGAAAGCAUGGGGAGCGAACAGG